AGCGUAGCUCAGUUGGCAGAGCAGCUGAUUUGUAAUCAGCAGGUCGUGGGUUCGAAUCCCUCCGCU
RNAcentral lists this transfer RNA (66 nucleotides) under marine eukaryotic metagenome. It matches the Rfam family "tRNA". From Rfam's summary of the family: Transfer RNA (tRNA) molecules are approximately 80 nucleotides in length. Their secondary structure includes four short double-helical elements and three loops (D, anti-codon, and T loops). Further hydrogen bonds mediate the characteristic L-shaped molecular structure. tRNAs have two regions of fundamental functional importance: the anti-codon, which is responsible for specific mRNA codon recognition, and the 3' end, to which the tRNAs corresponding amino acid is attached (by aminoacyl-tRNA synthetases). tRNAs cope with the degeneracy of the genetic code in two manners: having more than one tRNA (with a specific anti-codon) for a particular amino acid; and 'wobble' base-pairing, i.e. permitting non-standard base-pairing at the 3rd anti-codon position. The record is from RNAcentral.